UGAAGAGGUUCAGUGGGACACGUUUGAUGAUGAUGAUGAGGCUCAUGCCGAUCUUGGUAAUGAGAUCCACGGUGCUUUACUAACUGUUGGCUUCUUGCCAGGACUGGCAAUUGAUUUAAUCCCAUUAUCAAGGACUCUGAACAAAUUUCAGGGAAAUCAAGUACUCAUGAUUGAUGAUCUCGUGCUCAGUGUCAGGGAACGCUCAUCCUCUCGUUCUGGAUCAGCAUCACCGGUGGGGAUUUUGUUAUUUUCUGAUGAGGAAACUGACAUCAAAUUUGUCCUUGAAAAGUUUGAUUAUGCCUUUUCCACUGAGACUGUCAUUGUGGGUGACGGAGGUUCUCAGUUUUUAUACCGAGGUGAGGCUGCAAUUAAUCCUUCUAAUAACAAAGCGGCGAGUUCAGCUGCUGUUGUUCUUUUAUUUUCAAGGGAUAGAGGCAAACCUCCUGGUGUUGGGGAAACUCAGUUUCACGUAAUGUUAUCCACUGGCAUUUCAUCGAUUGGGCCUACAUACAAAGCUGUUUCUGUUAGGGGGAGAUCCUGUGACUACUCAACUUGGCUCACUGCAAAAAGAGAAGCAGUUCAUGGAAGUCUAGAUGGUCAGACUAUUUUAGAUCAGAUUUAUGAUGAGCUUGGAGGUCAUAACAAUUGUCCAGUUCUAUAUAUUGGAGUUACAAAGAGAAGGAAAUGCUCUAUUGGCCAGGAAAAACCAAGCUGGAUAAGUACACAUGAAUUCCAUGAGGUUUUAAGUGGUGAUGAGGAGUAUCUGUAUGUCCAUGGUGUUGGUAUCAGAAGUGGAGACUCCUUCCGGUUUUACCAUGCAAGUUCAGAUUUAGCCCGUGCUUCUUGCAACACUGUUGCAAAUAACUUCAGACAUUUGAAGCAACUACUUAACUAUGAACGUGAUGAUCAUACUAAUAGCAAUGGCGUAGCUACACACAAGAAGCCUGUGUUUGGUGGUAUAAUGUUUGCUUGUUGUGGUCGUGGCAAGUUAUUUUUUGGUGAACCUAAUGUAGACGGCUCACCUUUCUUGGAGAAGUUCCCUGGGGUUACUUUCUCAGGAACCUAUUGUACCGGAGAAAUUGCACGUGCAGAUUUGUGCUCAUACAAACAGGGUUCUCAGGAACACAGCUCUAUAAGUUGCAAUUUGCACGUAUUUAGCACCGUCUACCUUGUUAUGUCAUAUACCCCUCCAUUGCCUCAACAUUAGAGAUAGCUGGUUUUGCCAUUGAGAAUCCUGACAGGUAUUGGCAAAAGAAAACAAAAUUCUG
Molecule: unclassified non-coding RNA, 1268 nt
Filed under: Hevea brasiliensis (rubber tree)
Lineage: Eukaryota; Viridiplantae; Streptophyta; Magnoliopsida; Malpighiales; Euphorbiaceae
Source: RNAcentral